Molecule: ribosomal RNA, 303 nt
Filed under: uncultured bacterium
Lineage: Bacteria
Description: partial 16S ribosomal RNA
Rfam family: Bacterial small subunit ribosomal RNA
Source: RNAcentral
AGCAGUAGCCGCGGUAAUACAGAGGCCUCAAGCGUUGUUCGGAUUCAUUGGGCGUAAAGGGUGCGUAGGUGGCUUGGUAAGUUGAAGGUGAAAUCUCGGGGCUUAACCCCGAAACUGCCUUCAAUACUGCUAGGCUCGAGGACUGUAGAGGAGAAUGGAAUUCACGGUGUAGCAGUGAAAUGCGUAGAUAUCGUGAGGAAGACCAGUGGCGAAGGCGAUUCUCUGGGCAGUUCCUGACACUGAGGCACGAAGGCCAGGGGAGCAAACGGGAUUAGAUACCCGAGUAGUCCCUGUCUCUUAUAC